This 371-nucleotide ribosomal RNA is filed under the name uncultured bacterium. Its description in RNAcentral is "bacterial SSU rRNA". It matches the Rfam family "Bacterial small subunit ribosomal RNA", at positions 29 to 417 of the family's 1533-position model. The record is from RNAcentral.
AACGAACGCUGGCGGCAUGCCUAACACAUGCAAGUCGAACGGGAUCCUGGUUUCGGCCAGGUGAGAGUGGCGGACGGGUGAGUAACGCGUGGGAACCUGCCCAGUGGUGGGGGAUAACUGCGGGAAACUGCAGCUAAUACCGCAUGAGCCCGAAAGGGGAAAGAUUGAUCGCCAUUGGAGGGGCCCGCGUUCGAUUAGGUAGUUGGUGAGGUAACGGCUCACCAAGCCUUCGAUCGANAGCUGGUCUGAGAGGAUGAUCAGCCACACUGGGACUGAGAUACGGCCCAGACUCCUACGGGGGGCAGCAGUGGGGAAUCUUGCGCAAUGGGCGAAAGCCUGACGCAGCGACGCCGCGUGAGGGAUGACGGCCU